RNAcentral lists this ribosomal RNA (253 nucleotides) under uncultured bacterium. RNAcentral's name for it is "partial 16S ribosomal RNA". It matches the Rfam family "Bacterial small subunit ribosomal RNA", at positions 524 to 776 of the family's 1533-position model. The record is from RNAcentral.
UACGGGGGGUGCAAGCGUUAAUCGGAAUUACUGGGCGUAAAGCGUGCGUAGGCGGUUGAGUCAGUCAGUCGUGAAAGCCCUGGGCUUAACCUGGGAACGGCGAUUGAGACGGCUCGACUAGAGUGGGCUAGAGGAUCGUGGAAUUCCGGGUGUAGCGGUGAAAUGCGUAGAGAUCCGGAGGAACACCGAUGGCGAAGGCAGCGGUCUGGGGUCACACUGACGCUGAGGCACGAAAGCGUGGGGAGCAAACAGG